This 425-nucleotide ribosomal RNA is filed under the name uncultured bacterium. Its description in RNAcentral is "bacterial SSU rRNA". It matches the Rfam family "Bacterial small subunit ribosomal RNA", at positions 359 to 776 of the family's 1533-position model. The record is from RNAcentral.
GAAUAUUGGACAAUGGGCGCAAGCCUGAUCCAGCCAUGCCGCGUGUGUGAAGAAGGCCUUCGGGUUGUAAAGCACUUUUGUACGGGAAGAAAAGCGUGCGGUUACUACCCGGGCGUCAUGACGGUACCGUACGAAUAAGCACCGGCAACCUUCGUGCCAGCAGCCGCGGUAAUACGAAGGGUGCAAGCGUUACGCGGAAUUACUGGGCGUAAAGCGUGCGUAGGUGGUUUGUUAAGUCUGAUGUGAAAGCCCUGGGCUCAACCUGGGAAUGGCAUUGGAUACUGGCAGUCUAGAGUGCGGUAGAGGGUAGUGGAAUUCCCGGUGUAGCAGUGAAAUGCGUAGAUAUCGGGAGGAACAUCCGUGGCGAAGGCGACUCCCUGGACCAGCACUGACACUGAGGCACGAAAGCGUGGGGAGCAAACAGG